GAGAGGGAGAGGGAGACAGAGACAGAGAGACAGAGGCAGAGAGCAUACAGGCAAUCAGCCUGUCUCCACGAGAGCUGUGGGCACUCAGUCGGAGUGUGGAAGAAAGAGGCCCACAGGGAGGUCACCACCCGAGCAAGCAUGAGGCCUCCACGCUGAAAAAGAUGGACAUUUUAUUUGCCAAGGGUCCAAAAAAGGACCUCAUUUAAGAAAAGCUGCUUGAGAGAGAGUUCUGGGGACCUGAAAGAAGACUGCCUCUCAGACAGAUGGACUGAGAAGACUGAAAGCUGAGCAGGCUCAGGAGCCCUGACUACAGAGAUUUCCAAAUACUGAGCUAGUUCUGGCAAUGUGUGCAUCAAUUUCAUCAUCUAUGUGGACACCCCUGGAAAAUAUACUGACAAGAUCCACUGGAUUUUUGUAUUGUCCAUAAGUGUGAGCACAUUCCACAUACCCAUGAUGAUAUCAUACUGGUUACAUCAAUCCCAGGCACACUGCAGAGCAUCCUAGAAAAGAUCUAUAACCACUCAAAAGAAUUGGUCUAGCCAUCCACACAGGAAAAAACAAGUGGAUGAAAAAGGUCUUUGUCCAGAUUAUGACAUCAAAAAUCAUGUUAUUCCUAAUGAGCUAUUCGCUGGAAAGCCAAUGUUUUGUAAGACUGUACUGGAUUUUACUAAGUCUUUAUUACUGCAAGUUUAAGCAGCGUUACCUAGGAAACCUCCACAAGUGUCUUGGAACCUGGGAAGUCAAUCAGUUGGAACAAAUCUCUCUUUAAAAGCAGCAGAAACAAGGCAUAAAGCCAGGUACUGUUCCAGGUAUUGUUAACAACUGACUUAAACACACUAAUAUGAUGAUUCAGGGAUGUAUGCAGACCCCUUUGACACAGAAAUUUCAAGGGAAAAUGUUUCCCAGAAUCAGAUGACUUCAUGAAGUAGGCAACUAACCCCAAGACAAUGGACUAAGAAGCCUGUUGAAAUGGACAUUAACAUGCAUUCCUGUUCCCUGUUCUAUCUUGUCUUCCUGAUUAUAGUUAUGUUAAUUGACCAUUGUUUGACAUAAUGCCCUAACCCUUAUAGAAAAGGACCUAAAUGUCAGUUUUAGAAUACCACUAGGCAGCUGGGUGGCAUAAUGGAUAGGGUCAGGAAGACCUGAGUUCAAAACAGCCUCAAACAC
Molecule: non-coding RNA, 1167 nt
Organism: Phascolarctos cinereus (koala)
Lineage: Eukaryota; Metazoa; Chordata; Mammalia; Diprotodontia; Phascolarctidae
Source: RefSeq, a predicted model, not a curated record